RNAcentral lists this ribosomal RNA (2664 nucleotides) under Escherichia coli. Its description in RNAcentral is "partial 23S ribosomal RNA". It matches the Rfam family "Bacterial large subunit ribosomal RNA". Lineage: Bacteria; Pseudomonadati; Pseudomonadota; Gammaproteobacteria; Enterobacterales; Enterobacteriaceae. The record is from RNAcentral.
CGAACGGGGAGGAGCCCAGAGCCUGAAUCAGUGUGUGUGUUAGUGGAAGCGUCUGGAAAGGCGCGCGAUACAGGGUGACAGCCCCGUACACAAAAAUGCACAUACUGUGAGCUCGAUGAGUAGGGCGGGACACGUGGUAUCCUGUCUGAAUAUGGGGGGACCAUCCUCCAAGGCUAAAUACUCCUGACUGACCGAUAGUGAACCAGUACCGUGAGGGAAAGGCGAAAAGAACCCCGGCGAGGGGAGUGAAAAAGAACCUGAAACCGUGUACGUACAAGCAGUGGGAGCCUCUUAAUGGGGUGACUGCGUACCUUUUGUAUAAUGGGUCAGCGACUUAUAUUCUGUAGCAAGGUUAACCGAAUAGGGGAGCCGAAGGGAAACCGAGUCUUAACUGGGCGUUAAGUUGCAGGGUAUAGACCCGAAACCCGGUGAUCUAGCCAUGGGCAGGUUGAAGGUUGGGUAACACUAACUGGAGGACCGAACCGACUAAUGUUGAAAAAUUAGCGGAUGACUUGUGGCUGGGGGUGAAAGGCCAAUCAAACCGGGAGAUAGCUGGUUCUCCCCGAAAGCUAUUUAGGUAGCGCCUCGUGAAUUCAUCUCCGGGGGUAGAGCACUGUUUCGGCAAGGGGGUCAUCCCGACUUACCAACCCGAUGCAAACUGCGAAUACCGGAGAAUGUUAUCACGGGAGACACACGGCGGGUGCUAACGUCCGUCGUGAAGAGGGAAACAACCCAGACCGCCAGCUAAGGUCCCAAAGUCAUGGUUAAGUGGGAAACGAUGUGGGAAGGCCCAGACAGCCAGGAUGUUGGCUUAGAAGCAGCCAUCAUUUAAAGAAAGCGUAAUAGCUCACUGGUCGAGUCGGCCUGCGCGGAAGAUGUAACGGGGCUAAACCAUGCACCGAAGCUGCGGCAGCGACACUAUGUGUUGUUGGGUAGGGGAGCGUUCUGUAAGCCUGUGAAGGUGUACUGUGAGGUAUGCUGGAGGUAUCAGAAGUGCGAAUGCUGACAUAAGUAACGAUAAAGCGGGUGAAAAGCCCGCUCGCCGGAAGACCAAGGGUUCCUGUCCAACGUUAAUCGGGGCAGGGUGAGUCGACCCCUAAGGCGAGGCCGAAAGGCGUAGUCGAUGGGAAACAGGUUAAUAUUCCUGUACUUGGUGUUACUGCGAAGGGGGGACGGAGAAGGCUAUGUUGGCCGGGCGACGGUUGUCCCGGUUUAAGCGUGUAGGCUGGUUUUCCAGGCAAAUCCGGAAAAUCAAGGCUGAGGCGUGAUGACGAGGCACUACGGUGCUGAAGCGACAAAUGCCCUGCUUCCAGGAAAAGCCUCUAAGCAUCAGGUAACAUCAAAUCGUACCCCAAACCGACACAGGUGGUCAGGUAGAGAAUACCAAGGCGCUUGAGAGAACUCGGGUGAAGGAACUAGGCAAAAUGGUGCCGUAACUUCGGGAGAAGGCACGCUGAUAUGUAGGUGAAGCGACUUGCUCGUGGAGCUGAAAUCAGUCGAAGAUACCAGCUGGCUGCAACUGUUUAUUAAAAACACAGCACUGUGCAAACACGAAAGUGGACGUAUACGGUGUGACGCCUGCCCGGUGCCGGAAGGUUAAUUGAUGGGGUUAGCGGUAACGCGAAGCUCUUGAUCGAAGCCCCGGUAAACGGCGGCCGUAACUAUAACGGUCCUAAGGUAGCGAAAUUCCUUGUCGGGUAAGUUCCGACCUGCACGAAUGGCGUAAUGAUGGCCAGGCUGUCUCCACCCGAGACUCAGUGAAAUUGAACUCGCUGUGAAGAUGCAGUGUACCCGCGGCAAGACGGAAAGACCCCGUGAACCUUUACUAUAGCUUGACACUGAACAUUGAGCCUUGAUGUGUAGGAUAGGUGGGAGGCUUUGAAGUGUGGACGCCAGUCUGCAUGGAGCCGACCUUGAAAUACCACCCUUUAAUGUUUGAUGUUCUAACGUGGGCCCCUUACCGGGGUUGCGGACAGUGUCUGGUGGGUAGUUUGACUGGGGCGGUCUCCUCCUAAAGAGUAACGGAGGAGCACGAAGGUUGGCUAAUCCUGGUCGGACAUCAGGAGGUUAGUGCAAUGGCAUAAGCCAGCUUGACUGCGAGCGUGACGGCGCGAGCAGGUGCGAAAGCAGGUCAUAGUGAUCCGGUGGUUCUGAAUGGAAGGGCCAUCGCUCAACGGAUAAAAGGUACUCCGGGGAUAACAGGCUGAUACCGCCCAAGAGUUCAUAUCGACGGCGGUGUUUGGCACCUCGAUGUCGGCUCAUCACAUCCUGGGGCUGAAGUAGGUCCCAAGGGUAUGGCUGUUCGCCAUUUAAAGUGGUACGCGAGCUGGGUUUAGAACGUCGUGAGACAGUUCGGUCCCUAUCUGCCGUGGGCGCUGGAGAACUGAGGGGGGCUGCUCCUAGUACGAGAGGACCGGAGUGGACGCAUCACUGGUGUUCGGGUUGUCAUGCCAAUGGCACUGCCCGGUAGCUAAAUGCGGAAGAGAUAAGUGCUGAAAGCAUCUAAGCACGAAACUUGCCCCGAGAUGAGUUCUCCCUGACUCCUUGAGAGUCCUGAAGGAACGUUGAAGACGACGACGUUGAUAGGCCGGGUGUGUAAGCGCAGCGAUGCGUUGAGCUAACCGGUACUAAUGAACCGUGAGGCUUAACCUUACAACGCCGAAG